RNAcentral lists this ribosomal RNA (560 nucleotides) under Clostridium botulinum C. Its description in RNAcentral is "bacterial SSU rRNA". It matches the Rfam family "Bacterial small subunit ribosomal RNA", at positions 978 to 1533 of the family's 1533-position model. Lineage: Bacteria; Bacillati; Bacillota; Clostridia; Eubacteriales; Clostridiaceae. The record is from RNAcentral.
GACUUGACAUCUCCUGAAUUACUCUUAAUCGAGGAAGUCCCUUCGGGGACAGGAAGACAGGUGGUGCAUGGUUGUCGUCAGCUCGUGUCGUGAGAUGUUGGGUUAAGUCCCGCAACGAGCGCAACCCUUAUUGUUAGUUGCUACUAUUAAGUUAAGCACUCUAACGAGACUGCCGCGGUUAACGUGGAGGAAGGUGGGGAUGACGUCAAAUCAUCAUGCCCCUUAUGUCUAGGGCUACACACGUGCUACAAUGGCUGGUACAACGAGCAGCAAACCCGCGAGGGGGAGCAAAACUUGAAAGCCAGUCCCAGUUCGGAUUGUAGGCUGAAACUCGCCUACAUGAAGUUGGAGUUGCUAGUAAUCGCGAAUCAGCAUGUCGCGGUGAAUACGUUCCCGGGUCUUGUACACACCGCCCGUCACACCAUGAGAGCCGGUAACACCCGAAGCCCGUGAGGUAACCGUAAGGAGCCAGCGGUCGAAGGUGGGAUUGGUGAUGGGGGUGAAGUCGUAACAAGGUAGCCGUAGGAGAACCUGCGGCUGGAUCACCUCCUUUCUAGGGA